RNAcentral lists this ribosomal RNA (447 nucleotides) under uncultured bacterium. RNAcentral describes it as "bacterial SSU rRNA". It matches the Rfam family "Bacterial small subunit ribosomal RNA", at positions 355 to 825 of the family's 1533-position model. The record is from RNAcentral.
UCGGGAAUAUUGGACAAUGGGCGCAAGCCUGAUCCAGCCAUGCCGCGUGAGUGACGAAGGCCUUAGGGUUGUAAAGCUCUUUUGGCGGGGAAGAUAAUGACGGUACCCGCAGAAUAAGCUCCGGCUAACUUCGUGCCAGCAGCCGCGGUAAUACGAAGGGAGCUAGCGUUGUUCGGAAUCACUGGGCGUAAAGCGCACGUAGGUGGGCAGUUAAGUCAGGGGUGAAAGCCCGAGGCUCAACCUCGGAAUUGCCUCUGAUACUGGCUGUCUAGAGUUCGAGAGAGGUGAGUGGAAUUCCUAGUGUAGAGGUGAAAUUCGUAGAUAUUAGGAAGAACACCGGUGGCGAAGGCGGCUCACUGGCUCGAUACUGACACUGAGGUACGAAAGCGUGGGGAGCAAACAGGAUUAGAUACCCAGGUAGUCCCUGAGCGGGCUGGCAAGGCGCAU